UUAAUACUAUACACCCGUUUUAAAAAAUCGGGCGACGGUGGUUUCUUUUUAUGACGUUGCUGCGUCGUGUUGUCAUUCGUCGUCGUCCUCCUCCAUCGUCGUCAUCGUGCCCAUGCAUCGCGUCUUCUGAUCUUCAUCCUCGACCAUCACCACCGGGUCAUCCGCCAUCCGCGCUGACGACGAACGUCUCCACGACGUCGACGAAGAUUUGUGAUAGGGUGGCCCGUCCCAUCGAGUAGAUUGAACGAAAAAAGUAAGGGGAAAAGUAAAGGGAAGGAAGGAAAAAAAAAAAAAAAAUAAAUAUGGAAGGAAGUCGCGUCGGGUCACUCGCUGAUUUCUUUAAAAAAGAAAAAAAAAAAAAAAAAGAGGAAGAAAAGGCUCGUUCACACCUGAGCUUAUUCCAUAAAUAAAGUUCGUCCUUAUCGUAUUGGAGAACCGUAUUGUCCAGCAUGAUGAUGAAUAUCUUUUUGAGCAAUUUUGCAUUCUUUCGAUGCCAAAAAUAAAAAUAAAAAUAAAAAGUAAGGAGAAAAAGGAGUGGAAUAAUAAUAUUUGGAGAUUAUAGAAGGUUAGAUAAUCGCAAUUUAGAGAAUCAAAAAAAAAAAGCGUUGUUCUACUUGUAUAAUAAAUAAGACACGAUAUUUUGUACGAGCGAAGUUCGCUUCGUUCAAGAACGAAAGGGUGGGAGGGAGAGGGGUUGAUCGCUCUCGUUAUACUCGACGUUGAACGCUCCUCCUCGUCAGCGAAACUUUGCUGAAGCUAACUCUCUCAACAGUUUAUCGUUAAUUAUACUUUUAUCGAGAUCUAUUUAAUCGAGAAGAAAGAGAAAGAGGGAGAGAGGGAGAGAGAGAGAGAGAGAGAGAAAAAAAGAAAAAAUAUUGGAGAAAGGAAGAAAAAUGCAUUGUGCAAUUUUACACAUACACGUACACGUACUUUGUACAGAAAUAAUAUACAUAGCGCGUAUUUUAGUGAUUAUUAUUAUUGUUAUUAUCAUCACUGCGAUCCUCGUUGAUUUUCGAUCACGCGUUUCGAUCGUGGAAGCAUCGAUCUUGAAACAAAAAAGAAAAAAAAUAUAUAUAUAAAUAUAUAUAUAUAUAUAUAUAAAUAUUUGUCUACGAAUAUCGGAUAUAUCGAUAUAUAGUUCUUCUAAAAAUUGAUCGAGUAGAGUAGAGAGAGAGAAUCCGGUGAUUUGAUUAGUAAAACACGUAGACAUUGUAAUUAAUUGGAUUAGAUCAAAAGAAUUCGUUUUCUUACGAAAGAGGAGAAAAAAAAAAAA
Apis dorsata (giant honeybee) is the source of this 1273-nucleotide long non-coding RNA. RefSeq lists it as uncharacterized. Lineage: Eukaryota; Metazoa; Arthropoda; Insecta; Hymenoptera; Apidae. The record is from RefSeq and is a predicted model, not a curated record. The transcript has 2 exons.